GGGUAACUUUACUGAUUUGGGGGUGGUUUUUAGUUUAAUUUUUCUUUUGUAGCUUCCCAUCGACGGUCAGUGCGCACGUUGUAAUCAGCUGAGGCCAUGUCAGGAGACGGAGCCACGGAGCAGGCAGCUGAGUAUGUCCCAGAGAAGGUGAAGAAAGCGGAAAAGAAAUUAGAAGAGAAUCCAUAUGACCUUGAUGCUUGGAGCAUUCUCAUUCGAGAGGCACAGAAUCAACCUAUAGACAAAGCACGGAAGACUUAUGAACGCCUUGUUGCCCAGUUCCCCAGUUCUGGCAGAUUCUGGAAACUGUACAUUGAAGCAGAGAAUCCACAACAGUUUGAAAAAAAAUUGUGAAUAUUUGCUUUGAAUACAACUUCUUGAGAAACUCAGCUGCUUUUCUAAGACUCAGGAAAGCAUAAUGUGGUUCCCUCAUCCACCAUUUCCUUUGGUUUUGGCUAUCGUGUAUGAAGAGAAUUUUUGA
This 478-nucleotide small RNA is filed under the name Pan troglodytes (chimpanzee). RNAcentral's name for it is "processed transcript". Lineage: Eukaryota; Metazoa; Chordata; Mammalia; Primates; Hominidae. The record is from RNAcentral.